This 580-nucleotide long non-coding RNA is filed under the name Homarus americanus (American lobster). RNAcentral's name for it is "uncharacterized LOC121871801". The record is from RNAcentral. Lineage: Eukaryota; Metazoa; Arthropoda; Malacostraca; Decapoda; Nephropidae.
UCAGGUUCAUACAACAUAAGGUAAAUAAUAAAAUUAUAAAAUAUUUCCUGACAGAAUUAUGCACUUCUCGGCUACUGGAACAUACGUGCGGAUCCAUAGGGAGCAUGCUCUUGACAACCCGUGUUCUAACCCUCCCAGCAAGAUUACCAUUACUUCUGUCCUCUCUCUCAGUAAUCUCUGGGGCAUGUUCGUGGUACUGGCAGGAGGUCACCUUUUGGCAGCGUUGGUCCUAUUCCUCGAGCUUCUACAUAGUUGAGCUCAGGAGCUUACCCUUACGCCGUCCUAAUUAAGACAAGAUGCCUCAUCCUAGAACUAUGUUGCUGAUGACUACAAUGAACGCAUAUUAGGAAGAAAGUAGCAUGUCAUAAUCUCGUUUCAUAUUCUUUCAAAUUCCAAAUAUCUGAUGCCUGAAGUAUGGGCUUUUUGCUGUGAAUGCAAUACAGUAUAUAAUGAAUUAAUUUUAUGUUAUUAUGACUGUAAAGGAUGUACAUUUUGGAGAUUGAUAGCUAAUGAAGAUCAUUAUUAUUACUUGAUCUCAGAUAUGUUCUUCAGUAAAUGGUUAAUAAAGAGUUGCACAAUU